Molecule: long non-coding RNA, 483 nt
Filed under: Homo sapiens (human)
Lineage: Eukaryota; Metazoa; Chordata; Mammalia; Primates; Hominidae
Description: HSALNT0205433
Source: RNAcentral
UGGCUUUAGUCAAGGUAAAUAUUCUUCUGCUCUCUUGAAUCCAGUUUGUAAUCCUUCUUUCACCUUCUCUCCAAACUUGAGCAUUCACAGGGUAAAAGUCCCAUUUUCCCAAUUUCUCGUUUUGCUUUAUGCUUCAAGGUAUACAUGAGCUUGCGCUCCUUAAGCAGGCUAUAAAGGCAGGCAUCUAAUUCCUCCUGGCUUUGUUGCAUGCCCUAUUUAUGAGCCAGCAAAAUAUGUUUGGCCACAUGUUUACACCAGCAAAGAAAUAUGUCUAUGGAAUGGAAAUGUGUCUGCACUAAGUCAGUUGUCAACGUCUAUUUAAACAGACUUAAAUUUGUGCCUGCAUGUUUCUAGCUCUCAAGAUACAAAAACACUUUAUCCCUCAUUGCCACUGUUUUACAAGUUGGAUUUUUUAAAUCAAUGUAAUUCUGUUACCACAUUUGUGCAUAUACUUUAACUAUAUCCCUGUCCACUUAUCCAAAG